This 431-nucleotide ribosomal RNA is filed under the name uncultured bacterium. Its description in RNAcentral is "partial 16S ribosomal RNA". It matches the Rfam family "Bacterial small subunit ribosomal RNA", at positions 29 to 507 of the family's 1533-position model. The record is from RNAcentral.
AACGAACGCUGGCGGCAGGCUUAACACAUGCAAGUCGAACGCCCCGCCAGGGGAGUGGCAGACGGGUGAGUAACGCGUGGGAACAUACCCUUUUCUACGGAAUAGCUCUGGGAAACUGGAAUUAAUACCGUAUACGCCCUACGGGGGAAAGAUUUAUCGGGGAAGGAUUGGCCCGCGUUGGAUUAGCUAGUUGGUGGGGUUAAGGCCUACCAAGGCGACGAUCCAUAGCUGGUCUGAGAGGAUGAUCAGCCACAUUGGGACUGAGACACGGCCCAAACUCCUACGGGAGGCAGCAAUGGGGAAUAUUGGACAAUGGGCGCAAGCCUGAUCCAGCCAUGCCGGGUGAGUGAUGAAGGCCUUAGGGUUGUAAAGCUCUUUCACCGAUGAAGAUAAUGACGGUAGUCGGAGAAGAAGCCACGGCUAACUUCGUG